RNAcentral lists this ribosomal RNA (227 nucleotides) under uncultured bacterium. RNAcentral describes it as "partial 16S ribosomal RNA". It matches the Rfam family "Bacterial small subunit ribosomal RNA", at positions 107 to 334 of the family's 1533-position model. The record is from RNAcentral.
UGAGUAGCACGUAUCCAACCUGCCGUCUACUCUUGGACAGCCUUCUGAAAGGAAGAUUAAUACAAGAUGGCAUCAUGAGUCCGCAUGUUCACAUGAUUAAAGGUAUUCCGGUAGACGAUGGGGAUGCGUUCCAUUAGAUAGUAGGCGGGGUAACGGCCCACCUAGUCUUCGAUGGAUAGGGGUUCUGAGAGGAAGGUCCCCCACAUUGGAACUGAGACACGGUCCAA